This is a transfer RNA of Hypholoma sublateritium FD-334 SS-4, 95 nucleotides long. It matches the Rfam family "tRNA". From Rfam's summary of the family: Transfer RNA (tRNA) molecules are approximately 80 nucleotides in length. Their secondary structure includes four short double-helical elements and three loops (D, anti-codon, and T loops). The record is from Rfam. NCBI's taxonomy places the organism in Eukaryota, Fungi, Basidiomycota, Agaricomycetes, Agaricales, Strophariaceae.
GCCCGCCUAGCUCAAUCGGAUAGAGCGUCAGACUCUUAGGCGGGUUAGAUCGUAAGAUCAUCUGAAGGCUGCGAGUUCGACCCUCGCGGUGGGCU